Papaver somniferum (opium poppy) is the source of this 3530-nucleotide RNA transcript. It is a transcript of the gene named insulin-degrading enzyme-like 1, peroxisomal, with no coding region annotated. Lineage: Eukaryota; Viridiplantae; Streptophyta; Magnoliopsida; Ranunculales; Papaveraceae. The transcript is spliced from 27 exons. The record is from RefSeq and is a predicted model, not a curated record.
UUACUGUUUUAGGUUUCUCGACUUCUCGUAUUUUAAGAAAACCCCAAAAAGAGAUGCAAAAUCUAAUUCAGUUUAUGCAUAAAUAAAUAAAUAAAUUGACGUCGUUCUUGAAAGAGUCGAAGCAACGCAAAGCACAGGUGAGAGAGAAAAAAACUUAAAACCAGAAGAAGUAGAAAAGAAUGGCGGUUGGAAUUACAGAUGGAGCAAUUACUAAGCCUCAUACAGACAACAGGGAGUACCGAAGAAUCGUUCUCCCUAACUCUCUCGAAGUUCUUCUCAUUAGUGAUCCUGAAACUGAUAAGUGUGCUGCAUCUAUGUCUGUUGGUGUGGGUUACUUUAGUGAUCCUGAAGGUCUUGAAGGGCUUGCCCACUUUCUAGAGCAUAUGCUGUUUUAUGCAAGCGAAAAAUAUCCAGUGGAAGACAGUUAUUCAAAGUAUAUUACGGAGCAUGGAGGCUCUACGAAUGCUUACACAUCCACCGAGCAUACUAACUACUUUUUUGAUGUCAAUACAGACUCUUUUGAAGAAGCUCUUGAUAGGUUCUCUCAGUUCUUUAUUAAACCUUUGAUGUCUGCUGAUGCUACCACAAGGGAAAUAAAAGCAGUGGAUUCUGAAAAUCAGAAGAAUUUAUUGUCAGACGCAUGGAGAAUGACUCAGCUUCAGCAGCAUCUAUCUACAGAAGGUCACCCGUAUCAUAAAUUUGGUACAGGGAAUUGGGAUACAUUAGAGGUUCGUCCGAAACAAAAAGGACUGGAUACAAGAAAUGAGCUUAUUAAAUUCUACGAAGAACACUAUUCUUCUAACAUCAUGCGUUUGGUCAUAUAUGGAAAAAAGAAUCUUGAUGACCUACAAAGUCUGGUGGAUCAGAAAUUCAAAGAAAUUCGCAAUACUGAUAAAAAUUGUUUCCAUUUUUCGGGUCAGCCUUGUAAGGCUGAACAUCUUCAGAUUCUUGUUAAAGCUAUCCCCAUAAAGCAAGGUCACAAAUUAAAAAUUGUGUGGCCUAUCACUCCAAGCAUCCUCCAUUAUAAAGAAGCCCCAUGUAGGUAUCUGGGUCACCUGAUUGGCCAUGAAGGAGAAGGAUCUUUGUUUUGCAUCUUGAAAACGCUAGGUUGGGCAACGGGUUUGUCCGCGGGUGAAGAUGAUUCGAGUAACGAUUAUGCGUUCUUUAAAGUAAACAUUGAUCUUACUGAUUCUGGCAAUGAGCAUAUGGAAGAUAUUGUUGGAUUGUUGUUCAAAUAUGUUAUCCUUUUACAACAAUCUGGUGUUAGUAAAUGGAUUUUUGAUGAGCUCUCUGCCUUCUGUGAGACUGUGUUCCGUUAUCAAGAUAAAACUCGUCCUAUCAAUUAUGUGGCAAAAGUUUCAUCAAACAUGCAGCUAUAUCCCGCAAAAGACUGGCUAGUAGGUUCUUCAUUGCCUUCUAACUUCAGCUCAAGCAUUAUACAGAUGAUACUUGAUGAGCUAACUCCAGCAAAUGUAAGAAUAUUUUGGGAAUCAAAAAUUUUUGAAGGACAAACAGACAAGGUUGAGCCUUGGUAUGGAACUGGCUAUUCCCUCGAGAAUAUUAAUAGUUCAGCGAUACAGCAAUGGAUUUCUGCAGCUCCCAAUCAAAACCUACAUCUUCCAGCACCUAAUGUGUUCAUCCCAACUGAUUUAUCAAUUAAGGAUUUGACGGAAAAGGUUAAAUUUCCAGUUUUGUUAAGGAAAUCAUCAUAUUCCAGGUUAUGGUAUAAGCCUGAUACCAUGUUUUUCACUCCCAAGGCUUAUGUUAAGAUAGAUUUCAAUUGUCCAUAUACAAGCCACACCCCAGAAGCUGUGGUUCUUACUGAUGUUUUCACACGAUUAGUAAUGGACUACUUGAACGAAUAUGCUUAUGAUGCUCAGGUUGCUGGUGUAUACUAUGGGAUAAACAGCACUGAUACUGGGUUUCAGGUUAUUGUGACUGGUUAUAAUCACAAAAUGAGGAUCUUAGUGGACAAAAUAAUUGAGCAGAUACAGGAGUUCAAAGUAAAGCCGGAAAGAUUUGCUGUAAUUAAGGAAACUGUUUUAAAGGAGUACCAAAAUUACAAGUUUCAGCAGCCGUAUCAGCAAGCUAUGUAUUACUGUUCAUUGAUUUUGGCGGAUGCAUCGUGGCCUUGGACCGAACAGCUAGAAGUUAUUCCUCAUCUAGAAGCUGAUGAUCUUGCCAAGUUCUCAACUAUGCUUCUCUCGAAAGCCUUUGUAGAGUGUUAUGCAGCAGGGAACAUUGAACCAAAGGAAGCAGAGGAAAUGGUCAUCCAUAUUGAAGACAUCUUUUUCAAGGGUCUCCAACCCAUAGCAAGACCUCUUUUCCCUUCCGAGCAUUUGACAAAUCGAAUCGUUAAGCUUGAAAGUGGAAUUAGUCACUUCUACCCGGCGGAAGUUUUAAACCCAAGUGAUGAGAAUUCUGCCUUGGUCCACUAUAUUCAGGUUCACCAGGAUAGUACGAUGUUGAAUGUGAAACUUCAGCUUUUUGCUCUUAUUGCAAAGCAACCAGUGUUCCACCAGCUUCGCUCAGUUGAGCAACUUGGAUACAUAACAGUGCUUAUGCAGAGGAAUGAUUCUGGCAUCCGAGGACUGCAAUUUAUUGUUCAAUCAACAGCGAAGGAUCCUGGGCAGAUUGAUUUGAGAGUUGAAUCAUUCCUCAAGGAGUUUGAGAGUAAACUUUAUGAGAUGCCUGCUGAUGAAUUCAUGAGUAAUGUAAAUGCACUGAUUGAUAUGAAGCUUGAAAAGCACAAAAAUUUAAGCGAAGAAACUUCAUUCUUUUGGAGAGAGAUUUUUGAUGGCACUCUAAAAUUUGACAGGAGAGAGAUCGAGAUUGCAGCAUUGAAGAACUUAAGGCAGCAAGAGUUGAUAGAUUUUUUUGAUGAAUACAUUAAAGUGGGUGCACCGGCGAAAAAGACGCUAUCGGUACAAGUAUAUGGGGGUUCACAUUCCAGCAAUUACGAAGCGUCUACUAAAGAAAUAUCCUCGCAUCCUCAAUCUGUCUUAAUCGAGGAUAUAUUCAGCUUCAGGAGGUCACAGCCUCUAUAUGGUUCCUUUAAGGGAGGCAGUGGUCUUAUGAAAUUAUAGGUGGUCUGAACCUGCUGUCUUUGGGGAUGAUAGCACAUGCCGGGAAGUUACUGGGGCAGUACAAAAUGGAUAUCAACAGAUGAUAUAGGACAUUAUUGCUACUUUAUCACAAAUCAGUUUAACUUGAAACGAAGCAGAUUUAUUCAAUGGCUUUUUAUGCCUGAAAGGUGUCGGCUGCCGUUCUAAUGCAUAGAAGACAAUGUCGGACUUUGUGACAAUUUUAUCAUGCUUUUUUAUAUGUUUUCCCUUUUCUUUUGUGCUGCUGUAUCUGGCUGAGUUUUUGGAUGGGAAGUUCAGGUGAGCAUUCACAUACCUAUUUGCAGGGAAACAACCCCUACUGGCUUCAUUAUAGCUGGUAUUGGAGUAUAAGUGAGGACAUUUAAAAUAAAAAUAUUAGAUUCGUAAAAGCUGUUGGCUUGCUUCACAGCUGUUUGAUAAGGCCAA